RNAcentral lists this ribosomal RNA (1457 nucleotides) under metagenome. Its description in RNAcentral is "bacterial SSU rRNA". It matches the Rfam family "Archaeal small subunit ribosomal RNA". The record is from RNAcentral.
UCCAGUUGAUGGUGCUGGAGGGCACUGCUAUCAGAUUUCGACUAAGCCAUGCAAGUUCGCCUCUAGACUUCUAGAGACGGCAUCCGGCUGAGUAACACGUAGUCAACUUACCCUAAAGACAGGGACAUCCUUGGGAAACUGAGGGAAACCCCAGAUAGAUGAGAAAUACUGGAAUGUUUUUUCAUCCAAAGGAGACGUGAAUUGGAAUGUGUCCCUUUAGGAUAGGACUGCGGGAGAUUAGGCAGUUGGUGGGGUAACGGCCCACCAAACCGAUAAUCUCUAGGGGCAUUGGAAGAUGGAGCCCCCAGAAGGACACUGAAAUAAGGGUCCUAGCCCUACGGGGUGCAGCAGGCGCGAAACCUCCGCAAUGCGCGAAAGCGUGACGGGGGGAAUCUGAGUGGUAACGGCGAGAGUUGUUGCCUUUUUGUUAAGUGUAGAUAGCUUAACGAAUAAGGGACUGGGUAAGACCUGUGCCAGCCGCCGCGGUAACACAGGCAGCCCAAGUGGUGCCCACGAAUACUGGGUCUAAAGCGUUCGUAGCCGGUUUUAUAAGUCCGCUGUGAAAUCCUCAGACUUAAUUUGGGGGCGUGCAGCGGAUACUGUGAGACUUGAGAACGGGGGAGAUUAGGAGUACUCAUAGGGUAGGGGUUAAAUCCAAUAAUCCUAUGAGGACUAACGGUGGCGAAGGCGCCUAAUCAAAACGUAUCUGACGGUGAGGAACGAAGGCCAGGGGAGCGAACGGGAUUAGAUACCCCGGUAGUCCUGGCUGUAAAUGAUGCGCACUAGACGUCGCAGAACCUUAGAGGUCCUGCGGUGUCGUAGCGAAGGUGUUAAGUGCGCCACCUGGGGAGUACGGUCGCAAGACUUAAACUUAAACCAAUUGGCGGGGGAGCGCCACAAGGGGUGGAUGUUGCGGUUUAAUUGGAUAAAACGCCUGGAAUAUCACCAGAGUAGACAGCAGGAUGAAGGCCAAGCUGAAGACUUUGCCAGACAAGCUGAGAGGUGCUGCAUGGCCAUCGUCAGCUCGUGCCGUGAGGUGUCAGGUUAAGUCCUGCAACGAGCGAGACCCGUGCCUUUAUUUGCUAACUCUUUCUCCGGAAAGGGUGCACUAUAGGGGGACUGCCCGUGUUAAAUGGGAGGAAGGUGCGGGCAACGGUAGGUCAGUAUGGCCCGAAUGCUCUGGGCUACACGCGACAUACAAAGGUCAGAAUAAUGGGUCGCUACUCCGAAAGGAGACGCUAAUCUCGAAAUCUGAUCGUAGUCCGGAUUGAGGGCUGAAACUCGCCCUCAUGAAGUUGGAAUCCCUAGUAAUCGCGCGUAAGCAACCCGCGGUGAAUACGUCCACGCUCCUUGCACACACCGCCCGUCAAGUCACCCGAGUGAGGCUUUGGUGAGGCGCAGGUUUAGGCUUGUGUCGAGCCCGAGUUUUGUGAGGGGGGCUAAGUCGUAACAAGGUA